UACGUAGGGGGCAAGCGUUGUCCGGAAUCAUUGGGCGUAAAGGGUGCGUAGGCGGCGCGGUAAGUCGGAUGUGAAAUCUCGGAGCUUAACUUCGAAACUGCAUUCGAUACUGCCGUGCUUGAGGACUGGAGAGGAGACUGGAAUUUACGGUGUAGCGGUGAAAUGCGUAGAUAUCGUAAGGAAGACCAGUGGCGAAGGCGGGUCUCUGGACAGUUCCUGACGCUGAGGCACGAAGGUCAGGGGAGCAAACGGG
RNAcentral lists this ribosomal RNA (253 nucleotides) under uncultured bacterium. Its description in RNAcentral is "partial 16S ribosomal RNA". It matches the Rfam family "Bacterial small subunit ribosomal RNA", at positions 524 to 776 of the family's 1533-position model. The record is from RNAcentral.